GGGAUAGAAAAGCAGGGAGCAAAACCACAACAUAACACUUCCAUAAUUCAACAGAAUUACAAACAGAGGUCUACGGCCAAAAGUCUACAAAAGACCGGCUCUUAAAAUGAAUUGUCCUACGACCUACAAGUCGGACACGUUCUCAAAUCUUAUGACUUCACCUCUGCAACUCCUCAAUGCCAACCAAAGCUAUCUGGCCGCUCCGUUCACCGGGGACCUGAAAUGGUUAUUCAAUAACCACUGAGACAACGUCUCAGCAAGUUCAACCCCCUAAACCCCUAUUAGAAAGAAAAUACGCCCAAGGGUGGCCUAGCCACAUCACACAGAAGACUUACCUCGCCUCAGCCUUCAUCUGCAGGUUAGCACAAUUUAUAUAAUUCAACCACGUACAAUUAUGAUAACCAAACAACCAUGGCUCAAUCACAUUAUCAAAACAAUUCAACCACUUGGAUCGUCUCAACGAUCAAUCGACUCGGCCGAUUACAGGUCAUUCUAGCAAAUCAAUCAUUGCUCACAAUCACGGCCCACUAGGCCAACAUUAGAAUCAGUGGCAUCACGGCCCCACUCGGCGCGACCUUUAACAGGUGGCAAUUCACGGCCCCACUGGGCGCGACCUUUAUCAGGUGGCAUAUCACGGCCCCAUCGGGCGCGACCUCUAAUAGGUGGCAUAUAACGGCCCCAUCGAGCGCGACCUCUAAUAGGUGGCAUAUCACGGCCCCAUCGGGCGCGACCUCUAAUAGGUGGCAUAUCACGGCCCCAUCGGGCGCGACCUCUAGUAGGUGGCAUAUAACGGCCCCAUCGGGCGCGACCUCUAGUAGGUGGCAUAUCACGGCCCCAUCGGGCGCGACCUCUAGUAGGUGGCAUAUCACGGCCAAUCGCCCAUCAAUUUCCACACUUAGAAAUUUAUAAAGAAUCCAUAUAUAUCGAAAUCACAUUCAAUUCGCCACAACCAAUCAUAAAUAUCAAAUUCUAAAUGCACAGCAGCGAUCGGCACGAAAUUCUGAGCAACCGGGGUCAAAAAUAAUUUUUCUGAUUUUUUUUUUAUAAAAAUAAUAUUUUAAUAAUUUCGGAUUAUAAUAUAAUAUUAUAUUUUCCAGAAUUUCGAAGCACUUAAAUAAUUCAAAACUAAAAUCAUUUUGUGUCACAUCAAGGCUUAACUUUAAAUAAACUCCCUUAGCAUUUAAUUAAACAUACUUUAGAUUAAACAAACAUCUUAAUCUAAAUCAUAAUUAAAUCAACUAAAUUAACCACCUAAGCUUAAUCAACUUAAGCUAAGCACACCUAAAGCAUAAUUAACCCUCUAAGCGAGGUUUAGUGAGCUAAACUCACCGGAUUAGCGAGCCGAGCGGACCAAAACGACGAGCACGACGCGAGGAUCGACUUUCCUCAAAGCGGGCCGAGCAUCCGAGCUCGGGAAGGCGGCCAAAACGAGCCAAACGUCCGCUGCAUACCCAUUUUCCAACUCUCUGCUCACUGCUGGUUGGGGCCGAAAAUGAGCAGAUCCGGGGCUGGUUGGGGUCGGGAGUGGGCGGAGGAGCUAUGGCGGUGGCUGGUGGCGACGAACGGCGGUGCACGGCGGCGACGAACGAGCUCCGGCAGCUCUUGCGCGAGCUGAACAGCAGCUUGGGACGACGAGCUGGGCAAAGCGGGCGGAGCGGCGCCCGGGCGCGGGCUUCACGCGGACGACGAUGGUAGCGGCGAGCUUCGGCGACGGGCCGACGGCGAUUCGGCUGGGCUACAGCCCGCUUCGACACCUCCUCAGAUCUGCUGGGUUUUCAAGCAGAAACCGGAGCCGGAGAAGAGAGGAGAGAGGGCGACGGUGGCGCGGCCGGUGGUGCGGGCGGACGGCGAGCAGCUUGGCGGUGCAAACGGCGGCGAAGGAGGCGGACGGCGAGGGGCUACCUCGGCUUCUUCCUCUGCAAUUUUUCUGGUCUUUCGCACAAAGAAGAUGGAGGAGAAGCCAACGGAAGGGAGAGAGGAAGGAGAGAGAAGGAGGAGAGAGAGAGAU
RNAcentral lists this long non-coding RNA (2008 nucleotides) under Eucalyptus grandis. RNAcentral describes it as "long non-coding RNA (EGRA_LNC000338)". The record is from RNAcentral. Lineage: Eukaryota; Viridiplantae; Streptophyta; Magnoliopsida; Myrtales; Myrtaceae.